RNAcentral lists this ribosomal RNA (373 nucleotides) under uncultured bacterium. RNAcentral describes it as "bacterial SSU rRNA". It matches the Rfam family "Bacterial small subunit ribosomal RNA", at positions 521 to 896 of the family's 1533-position model. The record is from RNAcentral.
UAAUACGAAGGUCCCAAGCGUUAUCCGGAUUUAUUGGGUUUAAAGGGUGCGUAGGCGGGCUAUUAAGUCAGUGGUGAAAGCUCUCGGCCUAACCGAGAAAUUGCCAUUGAUACUGAUGGUCUUGAGUACAUUUGAGGAGGGCGGAAUGUGUCAUGUAGCGGUGAAAUGCUUAGAUAUGACACAGAACACCGAUUGCGUAGGCAGCUCUCUAAACUGUAACUGACGCUGAGGCACGAAAGCGUGGGGAGCAAACAGGAUUAGAUACCCUGGUAGUCCACGCCUUAAACGAUGAUCACUCGAUGUGUGCGAUAUACUGUACGCGUCUGAGCGAAAGCAUUAAGUGAUCCACCUGGGGAGUACGGUCGCAAGACUG